ACCAAAAUGCACAGGCUGUGAACUCGAAGAGUAGGGCGGGACACGUGGUAUCCUGUCUGAAUAUGGGGGGACCAUCCUCCAAGGCUAAAUACUCCUGACUGACCGAUAGUGAACCAGUACCGUGAGGGAAAGGCGAAAAGAACCCCGGCGAGGGGAGUGAAAAAGAACCUGAAACCGUGUACGUACAAGCAGUGGGAGCACCUUCGGGUGUGACUGCGUACCUUUUGUAUAAUGGGUCAGCGACUUAUAUUCUGUAGCAAGGUUAACCGUAUAGGGGAGCCGCAGGGAAACCGAGUCUUAACUGGGCGUUAAGUUGCAGGGUAUAGACCCGAAACCCGGUGAUCUAGCCAUGGGCAGGUUGAAGGUUGGGUAACACUAACUGGAGGACCGAACCGACUAAUGUUGAAAAAUUAGCGGAUGACUUGUGGCUGGGGGUGAAAGGCCAAUCAAACCGGGAGAUAGCUGGUUCUCCCCGAAAGCU
RNAcentral lists this ribosomal RNA (481 nucleotides) under Klebsiella pneumoniae. Its description in RNAcentral is "partial 23S ribosomal RNA". It matches the Rfam family "Bacterial large subunit ribosomal RNA", at positions 379 to 867 of the family's 2925-position model. The record is from RNAcentral. Lineage: Bacteria; Pseudomonadati; Pseudomonadota; Gammaproteobacteria; Enterobacterales; Enterobacteriaceae.